Molecule: long non-coding RNA, 658 nt
Organism: Acanthochromis polyacanthus (spiny chromis)
Lineage: Eukaryota; Metazoa; Chordata; Actinopteri; Pomacentridae
Exons: 3
Source: RefSeq, a predicted model, not a curated record
UCUCAGGGAGAACUUCUGUGAUGCACUUGACCAUUUCUCUCCAAGCCUGAUGGACAUCUUCAGGAAGAAGAAGGGCCUCACUGGCCAGCUGUUGACUGAGCUUUUGCAUCAGACAAAGACCACUGAACCAACCGACAUCAGGUGCCUUUGUCUUCGAGGACUGCCAGUCAUCUUGGGGGAUGAUCCAUCAGCUUUCUUCAAGACUUCCUGUGAUGCAACUGACGAAGACUCCUACAGUCAGACUCCAGUGGGAAUCCUCUGCAUUGGUCAGGAAAGUCCUCAGCUCAACCCAUCCAGAGUGGGGAUAAUCUUGGAGGGGAGUGUGGUCACGGAUGAACUGGCAAACCUACCUCAGGCCUUCUAUGUCCUUUUUGGCCUGAUUUAUGCCCUGCACCUGGACUACCCCAAGUGUAUGAGAAAUACCUUCCACUUUGUUCAGCAGGUAAUGUUCAACCUGGGUAAAAGUGAGCUGGCACCCAAAAUACAAACCUUGAAAAAUCAGCUCUCAGUGUAAAACAUGGUUCUGUGAAGUACUAAUUCAGAUAUUUGGUGUACUUUCAUACAAACAUUGUUGUGCAACAUAUUGUUUGCAGUGCAUUACAUUAUUGCAGGAAUAUUUCACUUUUUUAUUCUGGUUAUAUGAGGUAUGACCUCUGCA